AGGCACGGUUGAAGUGCUUGUGAACUGAGUUAGACCCAGUAACAAUGUUGUUUUUAAAACUAAAGAUGACAGAAUUUUCCUCCGAGUCCAAACAGAAAUGUGGACAGGCUAGUUUUCGUGUGGUGAUUCGUUAUCCCUUGUGUGAGCUGCAUCAUACAGGUGAGUGAGCUGAAGACACGGUAGAGCUUCGGCCGGCAAAGUGCCUUGUGACAGGGCAUAAUUUAUCGAGACUGAAAACAAAAACUGAA
Molecule: long non-coding RNA, 248 nt
Organism: Strongylocentrotus purpuratus (purple sea urchin)
Lineage: Eukaryota; Metazoa; Echinodermata; Echinoidea; Camarodonta; Strongylocentrotidae
Exons: 2
Source: RefSeq, a predicted model, not a curated record